RNAcentral lists this ribosomal RNA (680 nucleotides) under Lactiplantibacillus plantarum. RNAcentral's name for it is "bacterial SSU rRNA". It matches the Rfam family "Bacterial small subunit ribosomal RNA", at positions 54 to 699 of the family's 1533-position model. The record is from RNAcentral. Lineage: Bacteria; Bacillati; Bacillota; Bacilli; Lactobacillales; Lactobacillaceae.
CAUGCAAGUCGAACGAACUCUGGUAUUGAUUGGUGCUUGCAUCAUGAUUUACAUUUGAGUGAGUGGCGAACUGGUGAGUAACACGUGGGAAACCUGCCCAGAAGCGGGGGAUAACACCUGGAAACAGAUGCUAAUACCGCAUAACAACUUGGACCGCAUGGUCCGAGCUUGAAAGAUGGCUUCGGCUAUCACUUUUGGAUGGUCCCGCGGCGUAUUAGCUAGAUGGUGGGGUAACGGCUCACCAUGGCAAUGAUACGUAGCCGACCUGAGAGGGUAAUCGGCCACAUUGGGACUGAGACACGGCCCAAACUCCUACGGGAGGCAGCAGUAGGGAAUCUUCCACAAUGGACGAAAGUCUGAUGGAGCAACGCCGCGUGAGUGAAGAAGGGUUUCGGCUCGUAAAACUCUGUUGUUAAAGAAGAACAUAUCUGAGAGUAACUGUUCAGGUAUUGACGGUAUUUAACCAGAAAGCCACGGCUAACUACGUGCCAGCAGCCGCGGUAAUACGUAGGUGGCAAGCGUUGUCCGGAUUUAUUGGGCGUAAAGCGAGCGCAGGCGGUUUUUUAAGUCUGAUGUGAAAGCCUUCGGCUCAACCGAAGAAGUGCAUCGGAAACUGGGAGACUUGAGUGCAGAAGAGGACAGUGGAACUCCAUGUGUAGCGGUGAAAUGCGUAGAUAUAU